UGGGGAAUAUUGCACAAUGGGCGCAAGCCUGAUGCAGCCAUGCCGCGUGUGUGAAGAAGGCCUUCGGGUUGUAAAGCACUUUCAGCGAGGAGGAAGGUGGUGAGCUUAAUACGCUCAUCAAUUGACGUUACUCGCAGAAGAAGCACCGGCUAACUCCGUGCCAGCAGCCGCGGUAAUACGGAGGGUGCAAGCGUUAAUCGGAAUUACUGGGCGUAAAGCGCACGCAGGCGGUUUGUUAAGUCAGAUGUGAAAUCCCCGGGCUCAACCUGGGAACUGCAUUUGAAACUGGCAAGCUAGAGUCUCGUAGAGGGGGGUAGAAUUCCAGGUGUAGCGGUGAAAUGCGUAGAGAUCUGGAGGAAUAUCCGGUGGCGAAGGCGGCCCCCUGGACGAAGACUGACGCUCAGGUGCGAAAGCGUGGGGCAGCAAACAGGAUUAGAUACCCUGGUAGUCCACGCUGUAAACGAUGUCGAUUUUGGAGGUUGUGCCCUUGAGGCGUGGCUUCCGGAGCUAACGCGUUAAAGUCGACCGCC
RNAcentral lists this ribosomal RNA (530 nucleotides) under uncultured bacterium. RNAcentral's name for it is "partial 16S ribosomal RNA". It matches the Rfam family "Bacterial small subunit ribosomal RNA", at positions 355 to 873 of the family's 1533-position model. The record is from RNAcentral.